Triticum aestivum (bread wheat) is the source of this 134-nucleotide non-coding RNA. The record is from Rfam. Lineage: Eukaryota; Viridiplantae; Streptophyta; Magnoliopsida; Poales; Poaceae.
UUUGUACUCCCUCCGUCCCAAAACUCUUGUCUUAAUUUUUUCUAAAACGGAUGUAUCUAGUUACAUUUUAGUGUUAGAUACAUCCGUAUCUAAACAAAUGUAAGACAAGAAUUAUGGGACGGAGGGAAUACUAC